CACGUAGGGGGCGAGCGUUGUCCGGAAUCAUUGGGCGUAAAGAGCUCGUAGGCGGCUCGGUAAGUCGGGUGUGAAACCCCCAGGCUCAACCUGGGGACGCCACCCGAUACUGCUGUGGCUAGAGUCCAGUAGGGGAGUGUGGAAUUCCUGGUGUAGCGGUGAAAUGCGCAGAUAUCAGGAGGAACACCAAUGGCGAAGGCAGCUCGCUGGAACGGUACUGACGCUGAGGCGCGAAAGCGUGGGGAGCGAACAGG
Molecule: ribosomal RNA, 254 nt
Filed under: uncultured bacterium
Lineage: Bacteria
Description: partial 16S ribosomal RNA
Rfam family: Bacterial small subunit ribosomal RNA
Source: RNAcentral